This 834-nucleotide ribosomal RNA is filed under the name uncultured bacterium. Its description in RNAcentral is "bacterial SSU rRNA". It matches the Rfam family "Bacterial small subunit ribosomal RNA", at positions 546 to 1380 of the family's 1533-position model. The record is from RNAcentral.
GGGAAUUACUGGGCGUAAGCGCACGCAGGCGGUCUGUUAAGUCAGAUGUGAAAUCCCCGGGCUCAACCUGGGAACUGCAUCUGAUACUGGCAGGCUUGAGUCUCGUAGAGGGGGGUAGAAUUCCAGGUGUAGCGGUGAAAUGCGUAGAGAUCUGGAGGAAUACCGGUGGCGAAGGCGGCCCCCUGGACGAAGACUGACGCUCAGGUGCGAAAGCGUGGGGAGCAAACAGGAUUAGAUACCCUGGUAGUCCACGCCGUAAACGAUGUCGACUUGGAGGUUGUGCCCUUGAGGCGUGGCUUCCGGAGCUAACGCGUUAAGUCGACCGCCUGGGGAGUACGGCCGCAAGGUUAAAACUCAAAUGAAUUGACGGGGGCCCGCACAAGCGGUGGAGCAUGUGGUUUAAUUCGAUGCAACGCGAAGAACCUUACCUGGUCUUGACAUCCACGGAAGUUUUCAGAGAUGAGAAUGUGCCUUCGGGAACCGUGAGACAGGUGCUGCAUGGCUGUCGUCAGCUCGUGUUGUGAAAUGUUGGGUUAAGUCCCGCAACGAGCGCAACCCUUAUCCUUUGUUGCCAGCGGUCCGGCCGGGAACUCAAAGGAGACUGCCAGUGAUAAACUGGAGGAAGGUGAGGAUGACGUCAAGUCAUCAUGGCCCUUACGACCAGGGCUACACACGUGCUACAAUGGCAUAUACAAAGAGAAGCGACCUCGCGAGAGCAAGCGGACCUCAUAAAGUAUGUCGUAGUUCGGAUCGUAGUCUGCAAUUCGACUACGUGAAGUCGGAGUCGCUAGUAAUCGCAGAUCAGCAACGCUGCGGUGAAUACGUUCCCGGGUC